This 497-nucleotide ribosomal RNA is filed under the name uncultured bacterium. Its description in RNAcentral is "partial 16S ribosomal RNA". It matches the Rfam family "Bacterial small subunit ribosomal RNA", at positions 28 to 507 of the family's 1533-position model. The record is from RNAcentral.
GAUGAACGCUGGCGGCGUGCCUAAUACAUGCAAGUCGAGCGAACAGACGAGGAGCUUGCUCCUCUGACGUUAGCGGCGGACGGGUGAGUAACACGUGGAUAACCUACCUAUAAUACUGGGAUAACUUCGGGAAACCGGAGCUAAUACCGGAUAAUAUAUUGAACCGCAUGGUUCAAUAGUGAAAGACGGUUUUGCUGUCACUUAUAGAUGUAUCCGCGCCGCAUUAGCUAGUUGGUAAGGUAACGGCUUACCAAGGCAACGAUGCGUAGCCGACCUGAGAGGGUGAUCGGCCAUACUGGAACUGAGACACGGUCCAGACUCCUACGGGAGGCAGCAGUAGGGCAUCUUCCGCAAUGGGCGAAAGCCUGACGGAGCAACGCCGCGUGAGUGAUGAAGGUCUUCGGAUCGUAAAACUCUGUUAUUAGGGAAGAACAAAUGUGUAAGUAACUAUGCACGUCUUGACGGUACCUAAUCAGAAAGCCACGGCUAACUACGUG